RNAcentral lists this ribosomal RNA (305 nucleotides) under uncultured bacterium. RNAcentral's name for it is "bacterial SSU rRNA". It matches the Rfam family "Bacterial small subunit ribosomal RNA", at positions 337 to 659 of the family's 1533-position model. The record is from RNAcentral.
GCCUACGGGACGCAGCAGUGGGGGAUAUUGCACAAUGGGGGGAACCCUGAUGCAGCGACGCCGCGUGGGUGAAGAAGCGCCUCGGCGCGUAAAGCCCUGUCAGCAGGGAAGAAAAUGACGGUACCUGAAGAAGAAGCCCCGGCUAACUACGUGCCAGCAGCCGCGGUAAUACGUAGGGGGCAAGCGUUAUCCGGAUUUACUGGGUGUAAAGGGCGUGCAGCCGGGCUGACAAGUCAGAUGUGAAAUCCCGCGGCUCAACCGCGGAACUGCAUUUGAAACUGUUAGUCUUGAGUACCGGAGAGGUC